This is a long non-coding RNA of Gossypium arboreum, 212 nucleotides long. RefSeq lists it as uncharacterized. The record is from RefSeq and is a predicted model, not a curated record. NCBI's taxonomy places the organism in Eukaryota, Viridiplantae, Streptophyta, Magnoliopsida, Malvales, Malvaceae. The transcript has 2 exons.
GGCUAAAAUGGGGAAAAUACCAAGUGGUGGACGAAAUGGUAAAAAUAGCCAUUUUCGCAUACGAGUGUUGACAAGCCAGCUCGGAAAUCGGAAACGGUCGGAGGCACGCUCACACUAUCCGUAUACCAUCUUGGCAUAAUGGCUUGUAUAUUUUGAGUAUGGCAUGUAUAGCAUUAUAAUCAUUUUAUAUAUAUGGUCUUAUGAUAUGGUUA